AGCUAACGCGUUAAGUCGACCGCCUGGGGAGUACGGCCGCAAGGUUAAAACUCAAAUGAAUUGACGGGGGCCCGCACAAGCGGUGGAGCAUGUGGUUUAAUUCGAUGCAACGCGAAGAACCUUACCUACUCUUGACAUCCAGAGAACUUUCCAGAGAUGGAUUGGUGCCUUCGGGAACUCUGAGACAGGUGCUGCAUGGCUGUCGUCAGCUCGUGUUGUGAAAUGUUGGGUUAAGUCCCGCAACGAGCGCAACCCUUAUCCUUUGUUGCCAGCGGUCCGGCCGGGAACUCAAAGGAGACUGCCAGUGAUAAACUGGAGGAAGGUGGGGAUGACGUCAAGUCAUCAUGGCCCUUACGAGUAGGGCUACACACGUGCUACAAUGGCGCAUACCAAGAGAAGCGACCUCGCGAGAGCAAGCGGACCUCAUAAAGUGCGUCGUAGUCCGGAUUGGAGUCUGCGGCUCGACUCCAUGAAGUCGGAAUCGCUAGUAAUCCUAGAUCAGAGUGCUGCCGUGAAUACGUUCCCGGGCCUUGUA
Molecule: ribosomal RNA, 535 nt
Filed under: Enterobacter roggenkampii
Lineage: Bacteria; Pseudomonadati; Pseudomonadota; Gammaproteobacteria; Enterobacterales; Enterobacteriaceae
Description: bacterial SSU rRNA
Rfam family: Bacterial small subunit ribosomal RNA
Source: RNAcentral